CCUAUUGUAGCUCCUCGAAAGAGGUUCUAUGUUUCUUUUUCACAUCACAUCUAUCAUAUGGCUAGAAUGUAUUUGAAUCCUUGUCUAUCAGGCUCGUCCUGGUCGUCAAGCUCAAUAAAUUAUACAACUUUCAGCAACGGAUCUCUUGGCUCUCGCAUCGAUGAAGAACGCAGCGAAUUGCGAUAAGUAAUGUGAAUUGCAGAUUUCCAGUGAAUCAUCGAAUCUUUGAACGCACCUUGCGCUCCUUGGUAUUCCGAGGAGCAUGCCUGUUUGAGUGUCAUUUUCAAUUCUCAACCAUGUCUCGUUUUCAACUUUUCAUGGCUUGGACUUGGGGGUUGCUGGAAGCCGCAAGGCCAUCAGCUCUCCUCAAAUGCAUUAGCAAAGCAUGUGCUAGUCUUUGGACGUGCACGGCCUUUGACGUGAUAAUGAUCGUCGUGGCUGGAGCGUUCUCUUAUGGACCAUCCCAUCCUUUGCUUCUAAUUCA
Molecule: ribosomal RNA, 484 nt
Filed under: Hemileccinum impolitum
Lineage: Eukaryota; Fungi; Basidiomycota; Agaricomycetes; Boletales; Boletaceae
Description: eukaryotic LSU rRNA
Rfam family: 5.8S ribosomal RNA (bases 126-280)
Source: RNAcentral